GAAAAUAUGUCUUUUAUUCCCAUCCAAACUCUCAGUGUCAUUCCACUGAAAUGUUAGCUCCGCAAAUGAAACAGGUUCAUCCUUAUCAUCCACAAAUUCAUAGUUAGAGACAGUACUUGGGACUGCUUCAGCUUCAUCAUCAGAAGAUGCCAUUCCCACUUCCCCCAAUGCUCUGGGGCAACACCUGACUGUGUAUAGAACGAAAUCGAAACGACGGCGAAGUCGCCGGAGAAUUGCGGUGGCGCGCGCAACGGAGAAACCCUAUUUAAGAGUAUCCGGUGGUGGUAGAGAGUGAAAUGUGAGAAACUCGGAACUAGCAGAAAUUUAACGA
This 331-nucleotide unclassified non-coding RNA is filed under the name Hevea brasiliensis (rubber tree). The record is from RNAcentral. Lineage: Eukaryota; Viridiplantae; Streptophyta; Magnoliopsida; Malpighiales; Euphorbiaceae.